CCUACGGGAGGCUGCAGUGGGGAAUAUUGGACAAUGGGGGGAACCCUGAUCCAGCCAUGCCGCGUGUGUGAAGAAGGCCCUCGGGUUGUAAAGCUCUUUCAGUGAGGAAGAACGCCUGGUGGUUAAUACCCAUCAGGAAAGACAUCACUCACAGAAGAAGCACCGGCUAACUCCGUGCCAGCAGCCGCGGUAAUACGGAGGGUGCGAGCGUUAAUCGGAAUUACUGGGCGUAAAGCGCGCGUAGGUGGCUUGAUAAGCCGGUUGUGAAAGCCCCGGGCUCAACCUGGGAACGGCAUCCGGAACUGUCAAGCUAGAGUGCAGGAGAGGAAGGUAGAAUUCCCGGUGUAGCGGUGAAAUGCGUAGAGAUCGGGAGGAAUACCAGUGGCGAAGGCGGCCUUCUGGACUGACACUGACACUGAGGUGCGAAAGCGUGGGUAGCAAACAGGAUUAGAUACCCUAGUAGUC
Molecule: ribosomal RNA, 465 nt
Filed under: Vreelandella stevensii
Lineage: Bacteria; Pseudomonadati; Pseudomonadota; Gammaproteobacteria; Oceanospirillales; Halomonadaceae
Description: partial 16S ribosomal RNA
Rfam family: Bacterial small subunit ribosomal RNA
Source: RNAcentral